AUGCUUAACACAUGCAAGUCGAACGGAAACGACAUUAUUGAUUCUUCGGAGGAUUUAAUGGGCGUCGAGCGGCGGACGGGUGAGUAAUGCCUAGGAAAUUGCCUUGAUGUGGGGGAUAACCAUUGGAAACGAUGGCUAAUACCGCAUAAUGCCUACGGGCCAAAGAGGGGGAUCUUCGGACCUCUCGCGUCAAGAUAUGCCUAGGUGGGAUUAGCUAGUUGGUGAGGUAAUGGCUCACCAAGGCGACGAUCCCUAGCUGGUCUGAGAGGAUGAUCAGCCACACUGGAACUGAGACACGGUCCAGACUCCUACGGGAGGCAGCAGUGGGGAAUAUUGCACAAUGGGCGCAAGCCUGAUGCAGCCAUGCCGCGUGUAUGAAGAAGGCCUUCGGGUUGUAAAGUACUUUCAGUUGUGAGGAAGGGUGUGUAGUUAAUAGCUGCGCAUCUUGACGUUAGCAACAGAAGAAGCACCGGCUAACUCCGUGCCAGCAGCCGCGGUAAUACGGAGGGUGCGAGCGUUAAUCGGAAUUACUGGGCGUAAAGCGCAUGCAGGUGGUUCAUUAAGUCAGAUGUGAAAGCCCGGGGCUCAACCUCGGAACUGCAUUUGAAACUGGUGAACUAGAGUGCUGUAGAGGGGGGUAGAAUUUCAGGUGUAGCGGUGAAAUGCGUAGAGAUCUGAAGGAACACCAGUGG
RNAcentral lists this ribosomal RNA (692 nucleotides) under uncultured bacterium. RNAcentral describes it as "bacterial SSU rRNA". It matches the Rfam family "Bacterial small subunit ribosomal RNA", at positions 44 to 715 of the family's 1533-position model. The record is from RNAcentral.